UUUUUUUUUUUUUUUAAUUUAAAGAUUUUAUUUAUUUAUUUGAGGGGGAUGUGCAGAGGGAGAGGGAGAAGCAGACUCCCCGCUGAGCAGAGAACCUGAUGUGGGACUCGACCCCAGGACCUCAAGAUUAUCUCGGUCACUCCUUGAGUUUCUGUGUCCUCCUCGGUAAAGUGCUUUGUAUGUGGUAGGCGCCCAAUAGGUGCACCCAAUAGGUGCAGCUUCUUUUUCUUCUUCACCCAUUUUACAUUUCUUCUGAUUCACCCCGACUUAGGGAUGCUUUCUCGCAAGCUCCAGAGCCGUCAUAGAAUACAGAUUGCGUCUUAGCCUCUGCGCUGAUCGUUACGGGUUGUGUUUUAUCUUAAAUCUCUUGCCUACGUUAUUACUAUUAUUAUUCCGCCUAUUACUAUUAUUAUUAUUCCGUAUAUGUUAGUGCUGCUAAGGAGCCAGUGUAAGCGGAUGUGGGGUCUAAUUACUGUUCCCAGGCUGUUUCUUUGUCAAGUCUAACUAGCCGGUUUACAAUGAGGUUGCGGAAUGUGAUGUGUUCAGGGAUCUAUCACAGAAAGUUCUUCCCUCGGAUUCUAUUCUGCACAAUCUCCCGAAAAUCCAAUACUUUCCUCUACUUAUAAAUUUUAGUUGUUUCUUUCUUCUUUAAAAAAAUAUUUUAUUUAUUUAUUCAUGAGAGACACAGAGAGAGGCAGAGACACAGGCAGAGGGAGAAGCAGGCUCCCUGCAGGGAGCGCAAUGUGAGACUCGAUCCCUGAACCUAGGAUUAUGACCUGGGCCAAAGGCAGAUGCUCAACCACUGGGCCACCCAGGCGUCCUUAGUCCUCAUUUCUAAAAUGAAAUUCCAUGUCGCAGCCAAUUAUGCUGCCCAUGUACAUAUUACUGGAUUCAGCCAAUGUGGUUUUGAUCAGCACGUUGAUGUAUUUUUCUUCAUGUGUUUUCUACCUGUUGUUUUCACCGGAUUCAGAAAACCAUCAGUACCGAUUGCUUCAAGUAUUUUUCCACUUUCCUCUUUUUUCCCCCAAGACUGUAAUCACACAUAUAUUUGGUUGAUUGAAUCCCGCUUUGGCUCCCUGCUCAGCGGGGAGUCUGCUUCUCCCUCUGCCCCUCCCCCGGCUCAUGCUUGCUCAAAUAAAUACAUAGUUUUUAAAAGAAAAAAAAAACGAAGCAGCACAGCAACCGCUGUCCCUCCAGCACUGUCCACAGACGAAAUCUAAGCCCUGUGCUUGCUGGUAAAGGAGAAAUGGUGCGGAUCCAGUAACAGAAGCAGGACAGAGAAGGACAGAGGAGGAGGAGGAGUGGAAAUGCACUAAUGACCUCCCAGUGCCCCAGGGUGCCUGGACCUGUGCCCCCAGGUGACAAAGUUUCUAAGCUGAGGCCUCAGAGGCCCCAAGAGACAACCAGACUUUCCACGAGGCUCCGGCAUGAGCAUGGACAGGAGGUAAGUAGAGCCACGGGCAUCCACGCACACACCCCGCGACCAAGCCCAGGCUGCAGGAAGACAGACUGGGAAACUGGGAAGUGCUGGUCCCCUCAAAGAGGACCAAGAGGUUUGCACUUCCUCCUGAAGGCCAAGGGGAGCCCGUGAAGGGGUUAACACAGAAUGGUGUAAGCACAGUGAGGUGCUUAGAAGACCAUCUGGAUCAUUUUCUGAAGGAUGGGCGGUGGGUCAGGGCUGCGAGUAGGGUUUUGGGGCAGGUGACCCCAGCAGUGAUGUGCCCUGGAGUGGGUGACAGCCCCAGUGGGCUUCGGGCAGUGGGCACAGAUGGAUCGAGUCCGAACGUUAAAGAGGCAAAACUGGGCGGAACCGGUGCUGUCCUCAAAAGAGGGGGCGAGGGGACAGGCGUCAGGGUGACAUCCAUGCUUCUUGCCUGGGCAACUGUCUGAUUUGUGCAGUUGGAGGUGAGGACAGGGCAAAGGGGACAUCACCUUACACAUGUGUGAGGCACCUGUGGGGCCUCCGGGAGCAGCGUCCGGGGAGCCAGUGAUGGGUCAGCAGGUCAGGAGCCCAGGAGGAGCGUCUGGAACGCAAGGCACAGAUGCCAGAAUCACGAGCAUGCCACUGGUACCUAAGGCAGAAGAGCGUCACCAUGGGUUACGGUUCGGAGCCCUGGGCAUGUGCUGUGGGAGUAGAACCGGAUCAGAAUCCCGGCGUCCUCAUCUCCCUUGGCCAUCCUUCCCUGAGGCGUCCCACAGAAGGGGCUACCGUGGGGAUGAAGCCCCCUGCUGGAUGGAAAUCUGCACACCAUCACAGGGUAAGCUUCCCAAGAAACACCACGGGGCCAGGGGCCUCUGUCUGUUUGUUUGGCUUUGGAACCAUACCCUGGAUGUAGCAGGUGCUCAAUAAGAAAUGAUAGAAUAAGCAAAUAGGUUACCUGUUGACCUUCUUUCCCUAAAUCACCCCUGAAGUUCUCUUCUCCCUUGACUUCCACAAUGUGUGAUGGUCUGGCCAUGGGUACUUUUUUUAACCAUUUCUCCUUGUAUUUCUUCUUUUUUUGGGAAUGUUACGGAAGCUCAGCCCCUUGUCCAUCUUUCUGGGACAUCUCAGUGACUCCGUCACCUCUGGCUCCCGUGAUCACCUUCAUCUGGGCAGAAUCCUGAAUCUGGAACUCCAGCUCCUCACCCACACUUUAGUCUGUAAUCACAGUACAUGUCUAGUCCCAUGUCCUGCUGGAUCAUGAAGCAGAUGGAUGAAGAUGAACUCAUCAUCUCACAGCUAUUCUCCUUUCUUACCGUCCAUUUCUGACCAGUUUUCAUGGAACACAUACUGAAUUGCGAUCCUACGGCAUUCAGGCACCGUUCUAGACUGUGGGAAUACCCUGGUGCACGAGACAAAGUCCCUGCCCUCGUGGGGGCUUGUGUUCUAGAGGUUUCUAGGCCAGACCCACAGGAGCAUAUGCCACCUAAAAUGUGGUACACACACCAUAUACAUCAGUCACACCCAGGAGCUUAGUAGAAAUGCCAGUUCUCAAGCAGCAUCCCAGGCACACUGAGUCAAGGCUGUGCGUUAGGGGCCCAGCAUUCGGUGCCUACCCAGCCCUGCAGCAAUGCCCUCAUCAUCUCAGACCCCCCUCUAUUCAUACCUGGGAAACCUGAAGAUUCCUCCUGUGGCCCUCUCCAUCCCCAUCUUCAUCUGGAACCUUUGAACCUCACAUAUGCAUUGUUGGAAAAUCUAAUCAAUCUGUUUUCUGGCUCCAUGCUGUUGGAUGGAGGACUUUUCUCAAAUCCUGCCUUCACCGACAACAAUGAUAAAAAACUCACUGUGGAGGUUUAAGUCAUCUGUUCAAGGAAAUAACAGCUUCUCUGGACCUGAGAGCUGUGUCAUGUACCCUAGGGCUGCUGUAACAAGGUACAUGGAUUGGGCGGCUUCCAAGAGAAAUUCACUCUCGCAGUUUUGGAGGUGGCUUCCCUCUGUGGGCUCUGGUGGCAGCGGGCAGUCCUCAUACCCCUUGCUUUGUAAACACGUGACCACAAGCUUGGCCUCCCUGUCC
RNAcentral lists this long non-coding RNA (3494 nucleotides) under Canis lupus familiaris (dog). RNAcentral's name for it is "lncRNA (ENSCAFG00845003134.1)". Lineage: Eukaryota; Metazoa; Chordata; Mammalia; Carnivora; Canidae. The record is from RNAcentral.